Lolium perenne is the source of this 796-nucleotide long non-coding RNA. RefSeq lists it as uncharacterized. The record is from RefSeq and is a predicted model, not a curated record. NCBI's taxonomy places the organism in Eukaryota, Viridiplantae, Streptophyta, Magnoliopsida, Poales, Poaceae.
CCGGGGUCCACCCUGCAGCGGCUAUCCGUCUGUUUCCUCCUCCUCCCCAUCUCAUCCUCUUCUUCUCGAGAUCUAUCUGCUCGGCGUCUCCUAGCUAUGGCGGCUCUACCCUCCUCGCCCGAACUCCGGCGGUACAUCACCCCGUAGAAUUUCCGAGCGAUUUGGCCCGUCGGGUGCGCUGAUCUUCAUGCCCAUGGAUUACAUGGUUGGAUGGAUCAGAAAGAUCUCAUCUUUCCUCCUGAUCCGGAUUGACAGGAGAAGGAUCCAGCUGCUUUCCAGUGAUAUGCCCUAUCUAUGGCUGUUGUCACCAAGCCAUUCUCAUCCGAUCUGAAUCAUCUUGUUGAGCAAUAUCCGAUCUGAAUCUUGAAGACGCCAUCUUUUGUUGAGAGAUGAAGCUAAGGCGCAAUGGUUCCAUCUUUGUACAGUUGUGGUUUUUUUUCCUAGCUCAUCGCCCCCAGAUCAGCUUCAACUUAUUUCUUUGUGGGCUGGGUUGAAGAAAGAUGCAAUAGAAUAAGGUGAACAAAUUGUAGCUAACUAUCUAUCAGUUGAUGAAAGGUUGAGCAAAAUGGAAAUCUAGGUUGAGCAAAAAUGGAACUUGCUCUACAUGUUGAUGUAGUGGGGGAGACAGUAAAUUAAAUUCUCUCCAUUUAUGUUCUUUUUGUUUUGUCAUAUUUUGCAAAUGAGUAUGUAAUCUUCACUUUUGAUAGUUUGCUUUGGAAGUUAUCCAGCCAAUGUAUUUUUAUCUAAUAUUAUUGUAAAUUAUUAUUACAGGAUUGAUAUCACUAGUUCUCUAUAA